Molecule: transfer RNA, 75 nt
Filed under: Rhodocyclaceae bacterium
Lineage: Bacteria; Pseudomonadati; Pseudomonadota; Betaproteobacteria; Rhodocyclales; Rhodocyclaceae
Also listed under: 1 other name
Description: tRNA-Val
Rfam family: tRNA
About the family: Transfer RNA (tRNA) molecules are approximately 80 nucleotides in length. Their secondary structure includes four short double-helical elements and three loops (D, anti-codon, and T loops). Further hydrogen bonds mediate the characteristic L-shaped molecular structure. tRNAs have two regions of fundamental functional importance: the anti-codon, which is responsible for specific mRNA codon recognition, and the 3' end, to which the tRNAs corresponding amino acid is attached (by aminoacyl-tRNA synthetases). tRNAs cope with the degeneracy of the genetic code in two manners: having more than one tRNA (with a specific anti-codon) for a particular amino acid; and 'wobble' base-pairing, i.e. permitting non-standard base-pairing at the 3rd anti-codon position.
Source: RNAcentral
GGGUCGUUAGCUCAGCGGUAGAGCACUGCCUUCACACGGCAGGGGUCAGUGGUUCGAUCCCACUACGACCCACCA